CAGAGGCACGCAGGGCCGCAGGGAAGGGGCGGGGCAGAACUGGAGAACCCGGAGAAAGCAGCCAGGCUUGACCGCGCGUCCUCCAGGUCUCUAGUGCUAUGGCUGCAGACCUCAUAACUUGAGUAGUAUUGCAUCUCCCCGCGCUAGUGCCGCCCCGGCCGCCUGGGUACGACGACGGGUGGAGGGGCACCGAGGCCCCACACCUGCCUGCAGCGCUCCGCUUCAGCUCCAUUUAACCUGUGGCAGGAGCUGUGAAAAAAGUGCAAAUAUGGAGGAGGAAAGAACAGAAUUCUGAACUGCAUUAAUCAUUUAAGCAUAUAUCCUCAAUAAAAUGUAUUCCAUAAAUCAAA
This is a non-coding RNA of Macaca mulatta (Rhesus monkey), 350 nucleotides long. The record is from RefSeq and is a predicted model, not a curated record. Lineage: Eukaryota; Metazoa; Chordata; Mammalia; Primates; Cercopithecidae.